UCGGAGAGUUUGAUCCUGGCUCAGGACGAACGCUGGCGGCGUGCCUAAUACAUGCAAGUCGAGCGGACAGAAGGGAGCUUGCUCCCGGAUGUUAGCGGCGGACGGGUGAGUAACACGUGGGUAACCUGCCUGUAAGACUGGGAUAACUCCGGGAAACCGGAGCUAAUACCGGAUAGUUCCUUGAACCGCAUGGUUCAAGGAUGAAAGACGGUUUCGGCUGUCACUUACAGAUGGACCCGCGGCGCAUUAGCUAGUUGGUGGGGUAAUGGCUCACCAAGGCGACGAUGCGUAGCCGACCUGAGAGGGUGAUCGGCCACACUGGGACUGAGACACGGCCCAGACUCCUACGGGAGGCAGCAGUAGGGAAUCUUCCGCAAUGGACGAAAGUCUGACGGAGCAACGCCGCGUGAGUGAUGAAGGUUUUCGGAUCGUAAAGCUCUGUUGUUAGGGAAGAACAAGUGCGAGAGUAACUGCUCGCACCUUGACGGUACCUAACCAGAAAGCCACGGCUAACUACGUGCCAGCAGCCGCGGUAAUACGUAGGUGGCAAGCGUUGUCCGGAAUUAUUGGGCGUAAAGGGCUCGCAGGCGGUUUCUUAAGUCUGAUGUGAAAGCCCCCGGCUCAACCGGGGAGGGUCAUUGGAAACUGGGAAACUUGAGUGCAGAAGAGGAGAGUGGAAUUCCACGUGUAGCGGUGAAAUGCGUAGAGAUGUGGAGGAACACCAGUGGCGAAGGCGACUCUCUGGUCUGUAACUGACGCUGAGGAGCGAAAGCGUGGGGAGCGAACAGGAUUAGAU
Molecule: ribosomal RNA, 796 nt
Filed under: Bacillus pumilus
Lineage: Bacteria; Bacillati; Bacillota; Bacilli; Caryophanales; Bacillaceae
Description: bacterial SSU rRNA
Rfam family: Bacterial small subunit ribosomal RNA
Source: RNAcentral